UGGUAGAGCACGACCUUGCCAAGGUCGGGGUCGCGAGUUCGAGUCUCGUUUCCCGCUCCA
RNAcentral lists this transfer RNA (60 nucleotides) under Escherichia coli. RNAcentral describes it as "tRNA-Ser". It matches the Rfam family "tRNA", at positions 16 to 71 of the family's 71-position model. Rfam says of the family: Transfer RNA (tRNA) molecules are approximately 80 nucleotides in length. Their secondary structure includes four short double-helical elements and three loops (D, anti-codon, and T loops). The record is from RNAcentral. Lineage: Bacteria; Pseudomonadati; Pseudomonadota; Gammaproteobacteria; Enterobacterales; Enterobacteriaceae.